CCCCUGCGUCGUGCCAUACACCCUACACACGAUGCCGAAAAUAGAAGAGAAACUGAAAUGGCAGCGGGCAUUACAGCGACACGAUUUGCCAAAGAAUGUGUUGGUGCAUUUUAUUGACGGGGGACCAACACCCAUUCUGAAUUUAGGUUAUAAAGCUUCCGUCAAAGUUGGUCGUCGACUUCUGAAGAAAAAGGAAAUUAGAGAUGGUGGGAACAGAUGGGAGUGAACAUGAAAAGCAACAAAAGGUGGUUGCUGCUGCAGAUGAUGUUGAAACUCUCAACAUUAUUCAAACUGAACCAACGAUGACAUCUUUUUUAACGCAGACGAGCAUAACAGAAAGCAGAUCUGCAGGCACACAGUGGAUAGAUCCCACACUACAUGAGCAUGAAUAUGCUAGGCCGUGCAUUUCAGGAUCCAGGGAUACAGGAACACAGACGUGACCCAGUGAGACCAAGGACAAAGGAGUAAACUGUAGCACUCUGCAUAUACGCCUCACCACUGCUGACAUAUCAUCUGACUCCUUAGCCUUGUUAUACACAGGACUGCCUUUAAACACUUUCAGAACAUUUGUGAGUGUAAUGCAAAAUAUGGACGACCCAUUGAAGUUUACCAUGCCCGUUUCAGAACAAGGUUUGUUGGUGCUAAUGAUAGUAAGGCUUAAUCUACUGUUUGCAGAUCUUGCCAAUAGAUUUGGAAUAUCCGAGUCUUAUGCGUGCACCAUUUUCAAUCAAAGACUCUCUUUUAUGGCUUCAAAACUGAAAAAUUUAAUUGUUUGGCUUCCACGUGAAACAAUUAGAGCCACCAUGCCAAAAUCUUUUCGUGAGAACUAUCCGAAAACCAGUCAUAAUUGAUUGCGCUGAAACUUUCAUCCAACGAGUGAAAAACUUGAAGACAAGAGGAGAAACAUACAGCCACUACAAGUCCAACAACACGGGAAAGUAUUUGGUUGGUAUUGCACCACCUGGACAGAUUGUGUUUAUAUCGAAAGGCUUUGGAGGAAGAUCUAGUGAUAAAGCAAUUGUGGAAGAGUCUGGCAUUUUAAAUUACCUUCUUCCUGGGGAUGAAAUUAUGGCGGAUCGAGGUUUUACCAUUGAUGACUUACUCUUUCCCUUGAAAGUGAAACUUAAUAUUCCAGCUUUUACGAAAGGUAAAUACCAACUUUCAGAAGAGGAUGUAACAGAGACGAGACGAAUUGCCACUUUACGGAUUCAUGUGGAACGGGCUAUUAGACGUUUAAAAGUGUUCCGCAUUCUUAGUCAGGUGUUCCCGUAACCUCUGUUAAGAAACUCAGUGACUACUUCAUUGUUUGUGCUGCAUUGGUUAAUCUGAGAUCUGACCUUAUCAAAGAUAAAGAUAACUGAUGGUUAUGAUAAAAUUUUAAACUCUAGUCAGCUUCACUAAUGUUAAUGAUGCAUGCAUUAACAUAUUGUAAUAUGAUAUUAUGUACAAGUUCAUAAUGUUAUAUUUUUUCACAGCCUUGAAAUGUCUUAAAUGCCAAUGUAUUUUGGAUAUAUAUUUGAUUAAUCUUUGUAAAUUACAACCAUAUUUGGAAAUUCAGUAUCAUUGAUAUGAUAUACUGUACAUUAUAGUAAUACUAGUUUCUGGUGUAAAAUUUUUUUGUUGCAAAAUUGCAUAGGCUUUUAAUGAAGUAAAAUUACAUUAUUGUCUUCCCGAACAAAAAUUUAUUUCUAUAUAUGUUUUAAUUAUAUUCAAUAGAACCAAAAUCCUUAUUUUGAUGAAAUCUUGAACUUGUUUUUUGAUUUUAUCAAUGACUAUGUUAAAGUUGCAUACAAAAUUAUCAUAAUAGCACAUAUUUACAACAAAAUAAAACUUUCAGAUUGAGAGCUAUCAUAACUUUAAAGUGAAUGUCAUAUUUAUUAUCAAGAUAUUUGUGUAUGAUUAAAGGUAAUACUGUAAA
Ostrea edulis (European flat oyster) is the source of this 1918-nucleotide long non-coding RNA. RefSeq lists it as uncharacterized. The transcript is spliced from 3 exons. Lineage: Eukaryota; Metazoa; Mollusca; Bivalvia; Ostreida; Ostreidae. The record is from RefSeq and is a predicted model, not a curated record.